GGGAAUAUUGGUAAUGUGCGAAAGCGCGAACCAGCAACGCCGCGUGCACGAUGAGGGCCUUCGGGUUGUAAAGUGCUUUUAGAGAGGAUGAGGAAGGACAGUACUUUCUGAAUAAGCCUCGGCUAACUACGUGCCAACAGCCGCGGUAAAACGUAGGAGGCUAGCGUUAUCCGGAUUUACUGGGCGUAAAGCGCGUGCAGGUGGUUUCGUAAGUUGGAUGUGAAAGCUCCUGGCUCAACUGGGAGAGGUCGUUCAAAACUGCGAGGCUUGAGAGUGGUAGAGGGAGGUGGAAUUCCGGGUGUAGUGGUGAAAUGCGUAGAUAUCAGGAGGAACACCGGCGGUGUAGACGGCUUGCUAGACCAUAACUGACGCUGAGGCACGAAAGCGUGGGUAGCAAACA
Molecule: ribosomal RNA, 400 nt
Filed under: uncultured bacterium
Lineage: Bacteria
Description: bacterial SSU rRNA
Rfam family: Bacterial small subunit ribosomal RNA
Source: RNAcentral